Alligator mississippiensis (American alligator) is the source of this 570-nucleotide long non-coding RNA. RefSeq lists it as uncharacterized. The record is from RefSeq and is a predicted model, not a curated record. Lineage: Eukaryota; Metazoa; Chordata; Crocodylia; Alligatoridae. The transcript is spliced from 2 exons.
GAAGUGUAACAUUCACAAGAACAUAAAUCUACAUCCACAAGAAAACUGGUUUAAUCCAGUUCCAAAAGCUUCAGCAAAACAAAGAAAUUUGAAUACAUCUCAUCAAAGUGUGGAUAAAUGUAUACGAUUAAUGACUGUGCAUCUCUGGUUGUAAACCUGGGGAGUUUGGGGAAUAAUGGACCUGUGUUGUUGGGGGAACUGAACAACAAACAAGAGCUCGGAGAUCCCAGGGUCCAGCCUACACCCAAACAACUACAGAAGAGAACAAGCUUUGGAUCGAUAUUCUAUUUAACAGAAAGUGGCAAAACUAAAUAAGAAUGUCCUUAAAUGCAGUCAAAGCACUUCAAGCAGAUAAUGUCAAAUACUCACGGCUGGCCUGGAAUACAAGGAGCUGGAGCAAUGCAAUCCAAAUCUUAAGUGAAUGAACAAAAUGGUGGGCUUUUGUCAUAAGGAUGGAAGAAAACCUGAUAGGGACUGGAGGACUAAGAAAAUACCUGUCUAAAAGGUGUAUUUAAUUGAAUGAAAAAAUGUAUUCAGAAAUUAAACAGCUAACCUUAAAUUCAUUGCUAA